Oncorhynchus masou masou (cherry salmon) is the source of this 896-nucleotide long non-coding RNA. RefSeq lists it as uncharacterized. The transcript is spliced from 3 exons. Lineage: Eukaryota; Metazoa; Chordata; Actinopteri; Salmoniformes; Salmonidae. The record is from RefSeq and is a predicted model, not a curated record.
GCUAACGUUAACAGCUAGCUAGCGUUACUUAUAUAAAACCUCGAAUGUAUGUCCUGUUUCCAACGCGAAUUAAACACUACCUGGGGCCUAUCACUCUACUGACAAAAGUCUACUACUCAACUGGAGCCUUUUGGGAUCCUUGACCCAUCUUCACUGCCUCCGCAUACGACAUCUUCUGACUAGAUGCUUUGUUGCGUAUUGCUGCCCUUCACAGAGGCAGACACUCCUGUUCCUAUCAGCCCCAGGCCAUGUAUCUUCCCUGCUCUGAGACUGUGAAGAGAAGGGUCUGGGCUGCAGACUGGAUCACUGACUGGAGCCUCUGUCCUUCUGAUGACCACCAGGACUGAAGUUGUUCAGUCCACCAGUCCACUGGUUGUGUUCUGUGUGGUGGUGGAGUCUCUGUCCCUCGUGGUUCGUUCCUGGUUCUGAUUUGGGAAGGACGAGCGAUGGCUCCUGAUCCAGGGUCCUGAUCCGGGGCCAGGGUUUGUGACCAGCCAUCUCAAAGGUUCUACUCUCUCCUCUCACCAGCAACAGCAAUAUCAGCAGGUCCUCAUUAACAUAAUCUAUGGCAAUCUUUGGUUGUUUAUACUUUAAUAGUUAAACACAUUUGUUCAUAUAUAUUGUUCAUUUAUUAUAUCUGUGUCCAUAUUGUCCAUGAGUUUCUAGUAGAUAGACCAAAUGGUUCAAGAGAAAAUAGUCAAUUUAAUGAAAAUAUUAUCUAAUCAACAUUGGCAUUAUUUUCAAUUAACUCUGCAACUAUUGACUGGGUUCACAACUGACACUAGUUUGACAUCAAAUACACGUUGACAUUAAAAAAUAAAUAAGCAUGUAAAAAAAUAUAUAUUUCCUGCUGUAACCCUCAUAUUAAACACCAAUGGUAUUCUCUAAGGCCUGAU